RNAcentral lists this long non-coding RNA (363 nucleotides) under Ananas comosus (pineapple). RNAcentral's name for it is "long non-coding RNA (ACOM_LNC025503)". Lineage: Eukaryota; Viridiplantae; Streptophyta; Magnoliopsida; Poales; Bromeliaceae. The record is from RNAcentral.
UAAAAUUUAAAGUAAAAAGGUCUAUUACUCAUAAGCAGGUUUAAUAGGUGACAUGCUCUUCUCUCUCUCUCUCUCUCUCUCUCUCUCUCUAUAUAUAUAUAUAUAUAUAUAUAUAUAUAGUCCUGCUGUGGUGCUUGUAAAAACACCAAGCACUUGGCGCUUAUAAAUUUUUUUUAUCGUUAGAUCUAACCUUUUGAUCAUUUCCACCCGUUAAAUCAUACUAUUCAACCAACUACCGGCUCAACCCUAGAGGUCCCACAUCACUCUAACCACAUAUCUCUUAAUUCAAUGGCCAAAAAUCUAUAAGCACUAAUAAUUUGAUAGUUUUAAAAGCGUAGAAGCCCAAUUAUUUAUGUAUAUAUA